AGUCGAGCGGAUGACGGGAGCUUGCUCCUUGAUUCAGCGGCGGACGGGUGAGUAAUGCCUAGGAAUCUGCCUGGUAGUGAGGGACAACGUUUCGAAAGGAACGCUAAUACCGCAUACGUCCUACGGGAGAAAGCAGGGGACCUUCGGGCCUUGCGCUAUCAGAUGAGCCUAGGUCGGAUUAGCUAGUUGGUGGGGUAAUGGCUCACCAAGGCGACGAUCCGUAACUGGUCUGAGAGGAUGAUCAGUCACACUGGAACUGAGACACGGUCCAGACUCCUACGGGAGGCAGCAGUGGGGAAUAUUGGACAAUGGGCGAAAGCCUGAUCCAGCCAUGCCGCGUGUGUGAAGAAGGUCUUCGGAUUGUAAAGCACUUUAAGUUGGGAGGAAGGGCAGUAAGCUAAUACCUUGCUGUUUUGACGUUACCGACAGAAUAAGCACCGGCUAACUCUGUGCCAGCAGCCGCGGUAAUACAGAGGGUGCAAGCGUUAAUCGGAAUUACUGGGCGUAAAGCGCGCGUAGGUGGUUUGUUAAGUUGGAUGUGAAAGCCCCGGGCUCAACCUGGGAACUGCAUCCAAAACUGGCAAGCUAGAGUACGGUAUAGGGUGGUGGAAUUUCCUGUGUAGCGGUGAAAUGCGUAGAUAUAGGAAGGAACACCAGUGGCGAAGGCGACCACCUGGACUGAUACUGACACUGAGGUGCGAAAGCGUGGGGAGCAGACCCGAUUAGAUACCCUGGUAGUCCACGCCGUACACGAUGUCAACUAGCCUUUGGAAUCCUUGAGAUUUUAGU
Molecule: ribosomal RNA, 789 nt
Filed under: Pseudomonas sp.
Lineage: Bacteria; Pseudomonadati; Pseudomonadota; Gammaproteobacteria; Pseudomonadales; Pseudomonadaceae
Description: bacterial SSU rRNA
Rfam family: Bacterial small subunit ribosomal RNA
Source: RNAcentral